This 73-nucleotide ribosomal RNA is filed under the name uncultured bacterium. Its description in RNAcentral is "partial 16S ribosomal RNA". It matches the Rfam family "Bacterial small subunit ribosomal RNA", at positions 282 to 354 of the family's 1533-position model. The record is from RNAcentral.
CGUAGGGGUUCUGAGAGGAAGGUCCCCCACACUGGUACUGAGACACGGACCAGACUCCUACGGAAGGCAGCAG